GAUGAACGCUGGCGGCGUGCCUAAUACAUGCAAGUCGAGCGAACAGAUGAGGAGCUUGCUCCUUUGACGUUAGCGGCGGACGGGUGAGUAACACGUGGAUAACCUACCUAUAAGACUGGGAUAACUUCGGGAAACCGGAGCUAAUACCGGAUAAUAUAUUGAACCGCAUGGUUCAAUAGUGAAAGACGGUUUUGCUGUCACUUAUAGAUGGAUCCGCGCCGCAUUAGCUAGUUGGUAAGGUAACGGCUUACCAAGGCAACGAUGCGUAGCCGACCUGAGGGGGUGAUCGGCCACACGGGAGCUGAGACACGGUCCAGACUCCUACGGGAGGCAGCAGUAGGGAAUCGUCCGCAAUGGGCGAAAGCCUGACGGAGCAACGCCGCGUGUGUGAUGAAGGUCUUCGGAUCGUAAAACUCUGUUAUUAGGGAAGAACAAAUGUGUAAGUAACUAUGCACGUCUUGACGGUACCUAAUCAGAAAGCCACGGCUAACUACGUG
Molecule: ribosomal RNA, 497 nt
Filed under: uncultured bacterium
Lineage: Bacteria
Description: partial 16S ribosomal RNA
Rfam family: Bacterial small subunit ribosomal RNA
Source: RNAcentral